Molecule: small nucleolar RNA, 129 nt
Filed under: Dasypus novemcinctus (nine-banded armadillo)
Lineage: Eukaryota; Metazoa; Chordata; Mammalia; Cingulata; Dasypodidae
Description: Small nucleolar RNA SNORA31 (ENSDNOG00000046563.1)
Source: RNAcentral
AUGCAUCUCUGACAGACCUGGAGCAUUUAAUGUCUGCUGCUAAGAUUUCCACUAAAAAUCCAAGAAAAAGAAGGUCCUCAUGCUGUCUGUCUGCUGGUGGCAGCCAAGACUGAAUGGCGGAAUACAAGA